GAUGAACGCUGGCGGCGUGCCUAAUACAUGCAAGUCGAGCGAACAGACGAGGAGCUUGCUCCUCUGACGUUAGCGGCGGACGGGUGAGUAACACGUGGAUAACCUACCUAUAAGACUGGGAUAACUUCGGGAAACCGGAGCUAAUACCGGAUAAUAUAUUGAACCGCAUGGUUCAAUAGUGAAAGACGGUUUUGCUGUCACUUAUAGAUGGAUCCGCGCCGCAUUAGCUAGUUGGUAAGGUAACGGCUUACCAAGGCAACGAUGCGUAGCCGACCUGAGAGGGUGAUCGGCCACACUGGAACUGAGACACGGUCCAGACUCCUACGGGAGGCAGCAGUAGGGAAUCUUCCGCAAUGGGCGAAAGCUUGACGGAGCGACGCCGCGUGAGUGAUGAAGGUCUUCGGAUCGUAAAACUCUGUUAUUAGGGAAGAACAAAUGUAUAAGUAACUAUGCACGUCUUGACGGUACCUAAUCAGAAAGCCACGGCUAACUACGUG
RNAcentral lists this ribosomal RNA (497 nucleotides) under uncultured bacterium. RNAcentral describes it as "partial 16S ribosomal RNA". It matches the Rfam family "Bacterial small subunit ribosomal RNA", at positions 28 to 507 of the family's 1533-position model. The record is from RNAcentral.